AACGAACGCUGGCGGCAGGCCUAACACAUGCAAGUCGAACGCCCGUAGCAAUACGGGAGUGGCAGACGGGUGAGUAACGCGUGGGAACGUGCCCUUCGGUUCGGAAUAACUCAGGGAAACUUGAGCUAAUACCGGAUACGUCCGUAAGGAGAAAGAUUUAUCGCCGAAGGAUCGGCCCGCGUCGGAUUAGCUAGUUGGUGAGGUAACGGCCCACCAAGGCGACGAUCCGUAGCUGGUCUGAGAGGANGAUCAGCCACACUGGGACUGAGACACGGCCCAGACUCCUACGGGAGGCAGCAGUGGGGAAUAUUGGACAAUGGGCGCAAGCCUGAUCCAGCGAUGCCGCGUGUGUGAAGAAGGCCUGCGGGUUGUAAAGCAC
This 379-nucleotide ribosomal RNA is filed under the name uncultured bacterium. RNAcentral's name for it is "bacterial SSU rRNA". It matches the Rfam family "Bacterial small subunit ribosomal RNA", at positions 29 to 433 of the family's 1533-position model. The record is from RNAcentral.